Molecule: long non-coding RNA, 1015 nt
Organism: Raphanus sativus (radish)
Lineage: Eukaryota; Viridiplantae; Streptophyta; Magnoliopsida; Brassicales; Brassicaceae
Exons: 4
Source: RefSeq, a predicted model, not a curated record
UAAUAAAUUAUAAGUUUUAAAAAUUGUUUUAGUUGUUCAGAAAAAAAUUUAUCCAUGACAAAGAAACCGCUAGGCAGUUAGACAUCCAAAUCACGUCAUUUAGCGUUUUCACAAACAAGUAUCUUCCACAAUUCAAGAAUUCACAAUUAAAUAACUGCUCCACCGAUCAGAAACCAAAACAUGAUUUGGAGACGGUUGAACACGAAGACAACAAAACUCAAGUCAUCAUUCACAGGUGGGGUGGCGAGAAGAACAUGUGAAUGGAUGGUCGUUUUUGUGUUACCUUUUAUAACUUUUUUUUCAAUUCAUUUUGCAAAGUUUUAUGGCUGCCCAAAACUUACGUUUACGAGUUGUUUGACAUUUAUAAGCAAACAGAAAUUUCAGUGAGAUCAAACCAGCAUAAGAAUCAUCUAAAGAUUGGCUAACUUGAUAAGAAGAAGGAAUAGCUUCUAAGUCCUCGGGUUCAUAAACGUUAAUGGCGUCACUUAAAAACUCGGUUUAAUCUGGGACAAGAUCAAUGUAAUACAACAAAGAAACUGGGUGUUAAUAAUUCGACUAAGAUUUAAAGCUCGCAAGAAUAGCAAUAGAGUUUAUACUCUAUUGGUAAAGAAGACUUGGUGGUUGGGACUGGAACCCUAGUGGUUUCACUAUAUUGGAUUUCGCCCUCAAGUUGAUUACCACUCGACCAAAAGCACUGGUUUCUGUUGUUGUCUUCUAAUCAUUUUCAUUAUUUUAUUUGUUGUUUUCGGUUAUCAUAGAGAUUUACAUAGAAGGAGACAUUAUAUCUUAUGUUUGCACUUAAAGACACAUUGUCUAGUUGACACACUUUGUGUGGACGGCUGUUUUAUUUUGGAAAGAAAUAACUCUGCCCGUAAGUAAAAUAAUAUUUUUUAAAAAGGCAACUGUAAGCUAACUAGGUUUGUGUCUGAUUAUAAAUUCUAUCAAAAAAAAAUUCUAUAACUUUAUUUAGAUGGUAUUUUUACUUUUUGAGAAAUAAAUUAGGAAGACCAUGAUA